Molecule: ribosomal RNA, 347 nt
Filed under: uncultured bacterium
Lineage: Bacteria
Description: partial 16S ribosomal RNA
Rfam family: Bacterial small subunit ribosomal RNA
Source: RNAcentral
CCUACGGGAGGCAGCAGUGAGGAAUAUUGGGCAAUGGGCGCGAGCCUGAACCAGCCAAGUAGCGUGAAGGAUGACUGCCCUACGGGUUGUAAACUUCUUUUAUAAAGGAAUAAAGUGAGGCACGUGGGCCUUUUUGGAUGGACUUUAUGAAUAAGGAUCGGCUAACUCCGUGCCAGCAGCCGCGGUAAUACGGAGGAUCCGAGCGUUAUCCGGAUUUCUGGGGGUUAAAGGGAGCGUAGAUGGGUUGUUAAGUCAGUUGUGAAUGUUUGCGGCUCAACCGUAAAAUUGCAUUUGAUACUGGCAGUCUUGUGUACAGUUGAUGUAGGCUGCAUUCGUGGUGUAGCGGU